ACGCCCUUCUUAAAUUAACACCCUGUUUGAAACUAGAUUCUCAGCCCUAGACGUUAUUCAUCGAAUUUUGAUGGACUGGCGUGCUCAGAAUUUACUGUAUCAUAUUUACAUUUGUUUCUGCAGGCUUCAGGUACACUAUGUUAUUAUCUGAACUCUGCGUAAAAUUCGGUUUGCCCGAUCGAAAUACUCCAUAUACCUAUGAGGACAUUGACGUAGUUGUCGCCGUCAAAUGGAAAAGAAAUAAAAAAAGAUUUAGCUCUAAUUGAAGACUGGAACUAGCGAUGUCGAAAAAGUUGUUUCUCAUGCAUAUUGUAACCAUGGAAAUAAACAUGCCAUGAGAAUAUAUGCAGUGCAGAUGUUUUUGGCAAAUUAUUUAUGUUAAGUGAAUAAAAAAACGAAACGUUGGGAAACUGUGAAGAAACGCGUUGUUUACAAAAUAUGUGAUAUUUUCUAACUUUGAUAAACAGAGAAGACAACAUUUAUUUCAAGUUUGCUGCCAAAAUAUAAUAAAAAAAAAUCACACGAAAAAAAGAAGCAUUUAACAUUUUAGAUCAAAAGUUAAAUUACUGAAAACAUAAUUGCGUGGCUUGAACUUUUAUGAACUGUACUUUUGAAGAAAUUGUCAGAAUUUAUGAAAAAAUGGACAAAUAUAGAGAAAGCAAACAGCUUUGAAUUUUUGAACGCUUUUUAGAUACACAUGAACCGGAGUUGCAUUGAACAGGACGAUAACUGAUCCAAAAUCGGAUAAUAUUCAGUUUUGUCAUGAACCCGAUCAACACUGGGUUACUGAAUGUGACGUCAUCAAAAAGACGAAAGCCACCGGGCGGUACAUCUAGCAAAUACACCGCAGAAACUAGCGCUCUAAAACCUCAACCAAAAAUAAAAAACAAGAAAAAACCGAGCGAAGGAAAGUGCACAAUUUUGUAAAUUGUAAAAAAAUAACAAAUAUUGUACAAUGUUUAAUGUUCAUUUAAAUAACACUUUUUUGUGAAAUAAACACACUUGCACAAACGCUAGAAAUAAUUUAAAAA
Long non-coding RNA from Hydractinia symbiolongicarpus, 1031 nucleotides. RefSeq lists it as uncharacterized. Lineage: Eukaryota; Metazoa; Cnidaria; Hydrozoa; Anthoathecata; Hydractiniidae. The record is from RefSeq and is a predicted model, not a curated record. The transcript has 3 exons.